This is a non-coding RNA of Microcebus murinus (gray mouse lemur), 2030 nucleotides long. The record is from RefSeq and is a predicted model, not a curated record. NCBI's taxonomy places the organism in Eukaryota, Metazoa, Chordata, Mammalia, Primates, Cheirogaleidae.
UGGCCCUCCAGUAGGUUCAGAGGGGCCUGGCGACUUCUGUGUCCUUACUGGUUUAUAUGUUGUGGCUGAGAAGAUGGUAGAGGUGACACUGCCUGUCCAGAGGGGCCUUCUGGAACACCCUGGGAAUUAGGCUGUUGUGAUCACCGCAGAAGAUACAGCUCUGGUGGAUUCCAGAGGCCCCUAUGUCCAGCGUAUGCUCAGAGUAGGGAAAUAACAUCCCGGUGGGCAGGAGCGUGCUGGGAAGACCAAUGGCCAUCUCUUCCAGGGGACCCUACCCUCCCUGGCAUACCAGCCAUCCUUUGUCACCUUCAAGUCACAUGUCAGAGGAAAUCUCACUAGGCCUUCCUGUGCUCCUGGCUGCCAUCUCAGCCCUGGUGUAUCUUGUGGCCUCUACGACAAUGAAGCAUCAUGAAGUCACAGAGUGCCCUUGGGCAGGGCCCUGUCUGGUGUGCAAGAAAGCGAGGAUGAAGAAAGAAGCCCAGGUGGCAAGGUGUGCAUGAGGAUCUCUCAGCCACAGCCCCGCUGCCCUGGCCAGGGAUGGGCCUCUCAGCCCAGCCCCUUCCAGACCUGGCCCACCAGAGUUCAGAGUUCCAGCACCAACAGCUCAACACGCAGAGGAGGCGAAUAGGCAGAGGAGCGCUUCUGCCGUUAUCGCCGGGAUCUGAUGCCCAGCUCUCCUCCCCGCCUCGCGGAACGCCUUUCCAGAGAGGCCGCCGUCAGUUUGGUACCUUCCCAUCCUGUCCUCCCAGCUGUGAGCUCCUAACCACCCACCACGGCUCAGCUCUAGUAGGAAUUUAAUUGCUUUCAAUUACACCCCCUCACCAAGAGGUGAGGGCUUUGAAGAUUAACGUAUGGAGAGAAAUUAAUUAUUUAAGGAAAUGCGUUUGAACUUGAGGUUCUUCACACCUGACAAAGGAUGAACUGCAGCUGGCGUCUGCGUGAUGCGUUAUAAUCUGCAAACUUGCACGUUGUGUUUCAGUCUUAGUAGAGUUGGUAGAUCUCUGAUACCGGUGCCUCGCUCAGUCUCACAGGCAGGGAUGCCAAGGCACAGAGAGGUGGUUGUGUUUCAGUCUUACUAGAGUUGGUAGAUCUCUGAUACCGGUGCCUCGCUCAGUCUCACAGGCAGGGAUGCCAAGGCACAGAGAGGUGGAAUGCCUGCCUCAGGGUCACACAGCUCCGAAAGACUAGAGCAGGAAUUUGAACCCAAGUCUCGAUGACUUUUAAGUCCAGCAUUCCUCUGGGGCCUGUUCGGCAGACUGAUGUCUUCUUUCCCGUAGAGAGCAUUCAGUGAGGCCGUCUGUGACUCUGGCUCUUGCUAGUCAUGAUGUAUUGAUUUGAGGCUGAGAAACAACCAUUUGCACAUGUAUUUAGGAAGAAAAAUAAGUCCCAUGAUGUCAGUGGGGACAUGGAAGUGAUCAGAAAUUACAUGCAAGACUCGCUAUUGCUUUGGGCAGGAUACGGGCUAUUAGUUAUGGAACCAGUUGAUGACGAUGGCACUAUAAUGAGGCGAUUUAACGGGCUCCCGCGGUCUCAUCCCCAUCUUUAUGUAUGCGCGGAACCAGACAGCCAUUUAGCUCAAUGUCAUCAAGCCCAAUUGUCUUCCUGGCGAGAUCUCAUUAAAUGCCUGGACUUGAUGAAAGUUUUUGAAGUAAUGCAACGCUGGCUGUGUGCACAUGCCUCGUAAGGAUAAAGAGUAUGCUUCCCGGCCUCCCUUGCAGCUAGGUGUGACCGUGUGACCAAUUCUGGCCAAAGGAUGUCAGUGGAAGGUCGACAUGGCAGCAUCUGGGGAUCUAUUUGGCUAGCAGGAGGUGGGCUCUCAUGCUCCCAUUCUCCAGAUGAGGAAACUGAGGCCCAGAGAGACUUUGUACCAUGUUCAGGAUUUUGCAGCUGGCCAUCGGUCUCCUCGGCCAAAAUGGUGCCCUGGGAAAAUUCAGGCCUCUACAAAGUGGUUAGUGGACCCUGAGACCAUUUCAAAACAUGACUAGAAUGACACGUUUUCAAAUGCUGCCGACUCAGUUGGGGGCGUUGCA